AUACGGAGGGUGCAAGCGUUAAUCGGAAUUACUGGGCGUAAAGCGUUCGUAGGCGGUUUGUUAAGUUAGAUGUGAAAGCCCCGGGCUCAACCUGGGAACUGCAUUUAAAACUGGCAAACUCGAGUUUAGGAGAGGGAAGUGGAAUUUCAGGUGUAGCAGUGAAAUGCGUAGAGAUCUGAAGGAACACCAGUGGCGAAGGCGACUUCCUGGACUAAAACUGACGCUGAGGAACGAAAGCGUGGGUAGCAAACGGGAUUAGAAACCCGGGUAGUCC
RNAcentral lists this ribosomal RNA (274 nucleotides) under uncultured bacterium. RNAcentral's name for it is "partial 16S ribosomal RNA". It matches the Rfam family "Bacterial small subunit ribosomal RNA", at positions 523 to 796 of the family's 1533-position model. The record is from RNAcentral.